UGGGGCGUCGUAUAAUGGUAUUACGCUCGGCUCUGGACCGAGUAAUCGGGGUUCGAAUCCCUGCGCCCCAGCCA
This 74-nucleotide transfer RNA is filed under the name Rhodospirillales bacterium. Its description in RNAcentral is "tRNA-Gln". It matches the Rfam family "tRNA". Rfam says of the family: Transfer RNA (tRNA) molecules are approximately 80 nucleotides in length. Their secondary structure includes four short double-helical elements and three loops (D, anti-codon, and T loops). Further hydrogen bonds mediate the characteristic L-shaped molecular structure. tRNAs have two regions of fundamental functional importance: the anti-codon, which is responsible for specific mRNA codon recognition, and the 3' end, to which the tRNAs corresponding amino acid is attached (by aminoacyl-tRNA synthetases). tRNAs cope with the degeneracy of the genetic code in two manners: having more than one tRNA (with a specific anti-codon) for a particular amino acid; and 'wobble' base-pairing, i.e. permitting non-standard base-pairing at the 3rd anti-codon position. Lineage: Bacteria; Pseudomonadati; Pseudomonadota; Alphaproteobacteria; Rhodospirillales. The record is from RNAcentral.